GGGCGUAAAGAGCUCGUAGGCGGUUUGUCGCGUCUGCCGUAAAAGUUCCGGGGCUCAACUCCCGGAUCUGCGGUGGGUACGGGCAGACUAGAGUGAUGUAGGGGAAGACUGGAAAUUCCUGGUGUAGCGGUGAAAUGCGCAGAUAUCAGGAGGAACACCGAUGGCGAAGGCAGGUCUCUGGGCAUUAACUGACGCUGAGGAGCGAAAGCAUGGGGAGCGAACAGGAUUAGAUACCCUGGUAGUCCAUGCCGUAAACGUUGGGCACUAGGUGUGGGGGACAUUCCACGUUUUCCGCGCCGUAGCUAACGCAUUAAGUGCCCCGCCUGGGGAGUACGGCCGCAAGGCUAAAACUCAAAGGAAUUGACGGGGGCCCGCACAAGCGGCGGAGCAUGCGGAUUAAUUCGAUGCAACGCGAAGAACCUUACCAAGGCUUGACAUGAACCGGUAAUACCUGGAAACAGGUGCCCCGCUUGCGGUCGGUUUACAGGUGGUGCAUGGUUGUCGUCAGCUCGUGUCGUGAGAUGUUGGGUUAAGUCCCGCAACGAGCGCAACCCUCGUUCUAUGUUGCCAGCGCGUUAUGGCGGGGACUCAUAGGAGACUGCCGGGGUCAACUCGGAGGAAGGUGGGGACGACGUCAAAUCAUCAUGCCCCUUAUGUCUUGGGCUUCACGCAUGCUACAAUGGCCGGUACAAAGGGUUGCGAUACUGUGAGGUGGAGCUAAUCCCAAAAAGCCGGUCUCAGUUCGGAUUGGGGUCUGCAACUCGACCCCAUGAAGUCGGAGUCGCUAGUAAUCGCAGAUCAGCAACGCUGCGGUGAAUACGUUCCCGGGCCUUGUACACACCGCCCGUCAAGUCACGAAAGUUGGUAACACCCGAAGCCGGUGGCCUAACCCCUUGUGGGAGGGA
RNAcentral lists this ribosomal RNA (905 nucleotides) under Arthrobacter sp. DAB_ATA112. RNAcentral's name for it is "bacterial SSU rRNA". It matches the Rfam family "Bacterial small subunit ribosomal RNA", at positions 556 to 1452 of the family's 1533-position model. Lineage: Bacteria; Bacillati; Actinomycetota; Actinomycetes; Micrococcales; Micrococcaceae. The record is from RNAcentral.